UUUUUUAUAAAAAUAAUUUAUUUAUUUAAUGUUUUAGUAUUUAGUAAAAAUUAAUUUUUAGAUUUAUAGUUUAAUAGUAUUGUAAAAGAAUUAAUUAAAUUUGAAAAAGAAUAUUUUUAGUACCUUUUGUAUCAGGGUUGAUUAAAAUUUUUAAUUUUUUUUUAAUUUCUCAAAAUUUAUAGAGUUAAUUUUAUUAUUAAUUUAUUGUGUUAUAAAUAUUUAUAAAAUAAUAUUAGUUUUGAAAUUUAAUUCGUUAUAUUAUAUUUAGUUAUUUAAGAUUUAAAUUUAAUUUAUAAUUUUAAAAGUUAUAUUGAUUUUAUAUAUAAAUAUUUUAAAUUUGAAUUAUUUUAGGGAUAAUCUUGAAAUUUUUAUAUAAUAAUUUAUUUAUUUUAAUAAUUUAUAGGAAUAGAAAUUUUUAUUUUAAGUUUGUAAAAAUUUAUUAUUUAUUUAUUUUUAAUUUAUUAUAAAUUUAUUUAUUUUUUUUAUUAAAUUUUAUUAAUUAAUAUUUAAUUUUUAGUAAUAAUGAUUAAAUUAGUAUAAUUUAAAUUUAUAAAUUAUGAAUUCGGCAAAAAUUAUUUUCAUCUGUUUAACAAAAACAUUGUAUUAAGUUUUAUUUAAUAUAGGAUCUGCUCAAUGAUUUAUUAAAUAGCUGCAGUAUUUUGACUGUGCAAAGGUAGCAUAAUAAUUAGUCUUUUAAUUGAGGACUUGUAUGAAAGAUUUGAUGAGAAAUAAACUUUAUUAUUUAUAAAAUUAAAAUUUUAUUUUUAAGUAAAAAAGCUUAAAUUAUUUAAAGGGACGAUAAGACCCUAUAAAACUUUAUAAAUAUUAAUUUUAAUUUUUUUGGAUUAAUAAAUAUUUUAUUUUUAUUAUUUAUUUUAUUGGGGUGAUAAAAAAAUUUAUUAAACUUUUUUUAAAAUUUUACAUUAUUUAAUGAAUAUUUGAAUUAAAAUUUUUAAUUAAAGGAAAAAGUUACUUUAGGGAUAACAGCGUAAUUAGUUUUUUAAGUUCAAAUUUAAAAAUUAGUUUGCGACCUCGAUGUUGAAUUAAGAUUAAUCUUAGGUCCACAAUUUUAAGUAUUAGGUCUGUUCGACC
Molecule: ribosomal RNA, 1092 nt
Filed under: Megoura viciae (vetch aphid)
Lineage: Eukaryota; Metazoa; Arthropoda; Insecta; Hemiptera; Aphididae
Description: partial 16S large subunit ribosomal RNA
Source: RNAcentral